Cheilinus undulatus (humphead wrasse) is the source of this 1924-nucleotide long non-coding RNA. RefSeq lists it as uncharacterized. The transcript has 3 exons. The record is from RefSeq and is a predicted model, not a curated record. NCBI's taxonomy places the organism in Eukaryota, Metazoa, Chordata, Actinopteri, Labriformes, Labridae.
UUUGAAAACAAGCGAGCAGAAAGUUGUUGUCAAACAUCAAAUUCUGAAUCUGCUCUAUUAUUUGUUUAACAUUUAAAAAAGGGAUGUUUUCCAACGGAGAAAAUCAGCAGAGGAACAGCUGCGCACUAUUUGAUGCCACGACGCCCGCAAAGACAGCGACGAUAAUCGAUACCAGUCGAUCGAUCGAUCCGGAGGACAAGUAAGGCCGAUGUGUUCCAUGUGGAUCAACGCAUUUUGGCAACAGCUUCCACAGAAAAAAUAGACCUGGUGCAUAUCUCGAGAGGAGCAGCGUGGAGUGGCACUUCUGGCACACGCCAGAGAUGGGCCGGAUCACAUGCAAUGGAAUUACAAAGAUGGGCUAGAGAGGGGGUGAUUUGCUCCAGAGUGCAUUAUAUGUGCAGAUCACUGUACAGAGUAUGUGGAAUUUGAGGGUGACUUAAUUCUGAAAAGUCCCUGCUUAGAACCCCUAGAAUUUUUCCCUCCCUCACUCGUCCAUUCACUGACAGGAAAACAGCAGGAAAACGUCCUGCUGUUUUCUGCUUUUCCUGUGAGGGUAAAGUGUGAAGAAGCAGGCCAGGAAGUUUCAGGGUAGUUUUCAGGUUUUCAGUGUAAAAAGGGCAGGUGUUUGCAUUAACACAUGCAGCAUGACCCUGGGGCUGAUACUGAAUCAACCUUUCCAUGUCUGUCAGUUACUGUAAGUAUAACAUGGUGGCCUCCACAGCCUUUCUGUUGCAAUUAAUGUUAAAUGUAGUUAAACAUAAUGUAAGUUGUUGUUUUAAACCCUUGUAUGAGGACAUUUUAAGUUUGACAUAGUUUUGUCCCAGGUUACCCCAGAAGCCCCCAAGCACCUCAUCUCAUCCAGAGACCUAAGUGAAAGUUUUCCCUCUGUAGAGUCAGUGGAUUUUGUGGACUCAAACUCCUUAGAGAAGACUGAAUUAAGCUGCACAGUAACAUCUAAAUCACAAGAGGACACAGCAGAAGUCUGGAAGUUUUGUGAGUGACAGCUGCCUGAUGGAGCUCUUCAAGAAGUGUCAAUCUUGUUGACAGCCCUCUUCCAGAACGAAGGCAGCUCUUCACACUUUGAAAAAUGGUCCGGACAUCUGCACCUGUAUUUCAUGGGACAUAAAACCAUCAAAGGUUUUUGAAAUACAGAACGCAUACCUCAACCCAGAAGAGAAACAGAUGCAAAGGAUGGAGUGGGGAGGUUCGCCAGCAGCUACCUGAAAGCACUCCUCUUCACAGUUCAGGUGAUGGUCAGUGUGAUUCAUUUGGUUUCAGGGUUAAGAACUAAAAGGUGUUGGACUCUUAGUUGUGUCUUUUUUUUCCAGGAAAAAGAUUGACAAAACAUCAGUAACUCUGUGUACACACUUUAACAGAAAUAUGCAUGUACCCAGUGAUUAAAAAAUUCCUCAAAGUUAAGAUGAGUUUGAGAGAGAAUACACAAAAAUGACUUGUACAAAUGUCAAGACAAAAAUGACAACAGGGUAUGUAGUUCAAAGUUAGAAAAGAAAUGUUUAUUUAAGAAUCAGUGGUACCAUGCAAACAGACAAUAAUUUAUAUAAGCAGCACAUACAGCAGGACAAAAACUUUAGCAUUUAUCAUAACACAUUUGCAUGUGUAAAUCAUCCACUCUUUUGAAUCAGGAGGCUUUGUUAAAAUAUUAAUCUAAACUUGUCUGCACAUAUUGUUUCAUUCUGGCAUUUCAAACUGCUUUUAUUUUGAAACUUUACAACAGAUACGGAGCAUACUUUACUGCAAAUAAACCAUGAUGUUUAAACCUUGCUAUAUACCAAACCAAAAUUAUUGUGUAUUACACCUCUAGUUUAUCUUAUGUGCAGGGUUGAUUGUAAGACUGCAUUCAUGUUUUUUCAUUAACAGUCAAGAUGGCUGCCACUGAGGCAGGAAGUAUUUUCUUUAUAAAAUG